RNAcentral lists this unclassified non-coding RNA (1685 nucleotides) under uncultured fungus. RNAcentral describes it as "sequence contains 18S rRNA gene, ITS1, 5.8S rRNA gene, ITS2, 28S rRNA gene". The stretch from base 588 to 1685 matches the Rfam family "Eukaryotic large subunit ribosomal RNA", at positions 1 to 961 of the family's 3401-position model. The record is from RNAcentral. Lineage: Eukaryota; Fungi.
GGAAGGAUCAUUCAUAAUAAGUGUUUUAUGGCACUUUUUAAAUCCAUAUCCACCUCGUGUGCAAUGUUAAGAGGAACAAUUUAAGAGAUCGUAAAAAAAUCUUUCGUCUUGUUCUUUUUCAUAACAAACUCAUUUUUCUAACAUAUCGUCUGAAAACUAUUAUGAAUACUUAAUUCUAAAUAUAACUUUCAACAACGGAUCUCUUGGCUCUCGCAUCGAUGAAGAACGCAGCGAAAUGCGAUACGUAAUGUGAAUUGCAGAAUUCAGUGAAUCAUCGAAUCUUUGAACGCAUAUUGCGCUCUUUGGUAUUCCGAAGAGCAUGCUUGUUUGAGUAUCAGUAAACACCUCACAAUCAAUUUUUUUUAUUAAAAUCUUGAGAGUGGACUUGAGUGAUCCUUACUCUCCUCUGGAGGGGCAGGUUACUUGAAAUGCAGGUGCAGCUGGACUUACAACUGAGCUAUAAGCAUAUCUAUUUAGUCUCGUAAAACAGAUUAUUCAUUUUGCUAAAGCUACUCUAAGGUUGUAUUUCCAUAUGGCUGACUGAUGCAGGAUUCACAGAGUGGACGUCAAAACCCAUUUUGUAAACUCGAUCUCAAAUCAAGCAAGACUACCCGCUGAACUUAAGCAUAUCAAUAAGCGGAGGAAAAGAAACUAACAAGGAUUCCCCUAGUAACGGCGAGUGAAGCGGGAUGAGCUCAAAUUUAAAAUCUGACUGGUUUACUAGUCCGAAUUGUAGUUUAAAGAAAUGUUUUCGGGUGCAGCCUGGGUAUAAAUCCUUUGGAACAGGGUAUCAUAGAGGGUGAGAAUCCCGUCUUUGACUCGGUGCAUGCAACUAUGUGAUACAUUUUCAAAGAGUCGAGUUGUUUGGGAAUGCAGCUCAAAAUGGGUGGUAAAUUUCAUCUAAAGCUAAAUAUUGGCGAGAGACCGAUAGCGAACAAGUACCGUGAGGGAAAGAUGAAAAGAACUUUGAAAAGAGAGUUAAACAGUGCGUGAAAUUGUUGAAAGGGAAACGCUUGACACCAGUCAUGCGGGUGAGAAAUCAGUCUAUUGUAGGCUAGAGUUGUAGUAGUUCAGACCGCAAGGCUGGCUGCUGCUUCAUCUGGUUUGGAAUGGAUGCACUUUCUCAUUUGCAGGUCAACAUCAGUUUUGCUUGUCGGAUAAAACUUUGAGAGAAUGUAGUGACUUUGGUCAUGUUAUAGCUCUGAAGCGAUACGGCGGGUGAGACUGAGGUUCGCAGUGUGUGCUCUCGGGCAAGGAUGCAGGGGUGCUAUGAAAUUGUUCAGGGUAAACUGUUUACAUUUUGCCUUGUGUCUUUUUUAUACUCGCUUCUUUCAUCUCUUCCACACUUAAGAUGUUGACUUAAUGGUUUUAAUCGACCCGUCUUGAAACACGGACCAAGGAGUCUAACAUAUAUGCAAGUCUUUGGGUGUUAAACCCAUAGGCACAAUGAAAGUAAACGUAGGUGCCAUCCGCAAGGUGCAGCAUCGACCGAUCUUGAUAUUUUUGGAUAGAUUUGAGUAAGAGCAUAUAUGCUGGGACCCGAAAGAUGGUGAACUAUGCCUGAAUAGGGUGAAGCCAGAGGAAACUCUGGUGGAGGCUCGUAGCGAUUCUGACGUGCAAAUCGAUCGUCAAAUUUGGGUAUAGGGGCGAAAGACUAAUCGAACCAUCUAGUAGCUGGUUCCUGC